RNAcentral lists this transfer RNA (87 nucleotides) under Alkalibacter saccharofermentans DSM 14828. RNAcentral describes it as "tRNA_Leu_CAG". It matches the Rfam family "tRNA". From Rfam's summary of the family: Transfer RNA (tRNA) molecules are approximately 80 nucleotides in length. Their secondary structure includes four short double-helical elements and three loops (D, anti-codon, and T loops). Further hydrogen bonds mediate the characteristic L-shaped molecular structure. tRNAs have two regions of fundamental functional importance: the anti-codon, which is responsible for specific mRNA codon recognition, and the 3' end, to which the tRNAs corresponding amino acid is attached (by aminoacyl-tRNA synthetases). tRNAs cope with the degeneracy of the genetic code in two manners: having more than one tRNA (with a specific anti-codon) for a particular amino acid; and 'wobble' base-pairing, i.e. permitting non-standard base-pairing at the 3rd anti-codon position. Lineage: Bacteria; Bacillati; Bacillota; Clostridia; Eubacteriales; Eubacteriaceae. The record is from RNAcentral.
GCCGAAGUGGUGGAAUUGGCAGACGCGCUACGUUCAGGGCGUAGUGAGGUAACACUCGUGCGGGUUCGACUCCCGCCUUCGGCACCA